RNAcentral lists this long non-coding RNA (948 nucleotides) under Pongo abelii (Sumatran orangutan). RNAcentral's name for it is "lincRNA". The record is from RNAcentral. Lineage: Eukaryota; Metazoa; Chordata; Mammalia; Primates; Hominidae.
CCCUCUCACGACAUGUGGAGAUUAUGGGAACUGCAAUUCAAGAUGAGAUUUGGUUGGGGACACAGCCAAACUAUAUAAACAUCUAACAGGAAUCCUUGGUUAGAGCUUCUGCAUCUGCUUGCAGAUGGAAGAAGAGAGUGAGAAAGAAAAGUAGCAAAAUUCAAAUACCUGUGGCACGUUCAAGUGGGAAAGUAAAGAAGAAAAAGCCCAUACUGCUUCAGUCUUUUUUGAUUAUAUUAAAUAUCCAAGUUUGUGUGACGCAAUCCCAAGUAAUAUUGGUAUCACUGUACUAUGAGCUAUAAGAGAAAUGUUUUAAACUUCCUAUUUUAAGGAAUAGUUUUUUAUUAUCAUGGCUUAUAAUUUGGUUAAUUAGCUUGUUUUCGAAACAAGGGUUCUAUUCAGUGGUUGCCAGGUGUAUUCCAUGUAAUUUAGAAGAGUUCGCCUCUCUAAAUACAUGGGUGCUACUGACAAGGACUACUCAACUUGUGAAAGUCCAACUUGCAAGCAUCCUUAAUAUCAUUUCAGGAAAAAGUCACCUAGCCAAAUUUUUACAUAUAUAACAAUAUAACAAUAAUAACACUUAUUGAAACUUCACUAUAUGACACACCAUGUCAUGAAUGAAGCAUAUGGAUUAUUUUACUUAAGCCUUACAACUGCCAUGAGAAAUACUGUUUUAGUCUUUACUAUGACAGUUGGAAAUGUACUUUUUUUUCAAUGUUGGGAACAGACAGAACUUCAACUCUGUAUUCUACUUGAGCCUUUUUCCUUUCUCCACUUAACUCCUCAUUCCACUGUAGCUUAUAGAGACUUCUUUGGAGAGUUAUUAUUUGGAGACAAAUUGUAAAAAAAGAAUGUCACAAUUUUUCCUGCUGAGAACAUGCUUUUGUUUUACAAGUAAAAAUUCAAAGUUAAUUCCCACAAAGAAAUAAAGGUUAAAAUAAAAGUUAA